GCGAGCUUGGCGGAAUGGUAGACGCACGAGACUUAAAAUCUCGAGUUCGUAAGAACGUGCGGGUUCGAGUCCCGCAGCUCGCA
This 83-nucleotide transfer RNA is filed under the name Acetobacter nitrogenifigens DSM 23921 = NBRC 105050. It matches the Rfam family "tRNA". Rfam says of the family: Transfer RNA (tRNA) molecules are approximately 80 nucleotides in length. Their secondary structure includes four short double-helical elements and three loops (D, anti-codon, and T loops). Lineage: Bacteria; Pseudomonadati; Pseudomonadota; Alphaproteobacteria; Acetobacterales; Acetobacteraceae. The record is from Rfam by way of RNAcentral.